Molecule: non-coding RNA, 72 nt
Organism: Caenorhabditis brenneri
Lineage: Eukaryota; Metazoa; Nematoda; Chromadorea; Rhabditida; Rhabditidae
Source: the annotation of a GenBank genome assembly
UCACCCGUGGCCUAGUGGUUAGCGCUGCUGUUUUUUAAACAUUGAACGCGGGUUCAAUCCCAACUGGGGUCA